AUGGUGGUCCUAGCUGGGCUCCUUAUAGUGCUGGUGUUCUGGUUUCCAGGUGCAAAAUGUGAUAUCCAGAUGACUCAGUCUCCAUCCAGUCUGUCUGCAUCUCUGGGAGAAACUGUCACCAUCACUUGUCAUGCCAGCCAGAACAUUAAUAGUUGGUUAGCCUGGCACCAACAGAAACCAGGGGUUGCUCAUAAACUCUUAAUCUAUAAGACUUCCAACUUGCAUAAAGACAUACUACCGAAGUUCAGUGGCAGUGGAUCUGGGACAGACUACUCUCUCACCAUCAGUAACUUGCAGCUUGAAGAUGUUGCUACUUAUUAUUGUCAACAGUAUCAAAAUGUUCCAUUUACAGUGAUACAAGUCAUAACAAAACCUCUUAGGAGUGCAUUGAAGAAAGACUGA
Molecule: non-coding RNA, 402 nt
Organism: Mesocricetus auratus (golden hamster)
Lineage: Eukaryota; Metazoa; Chordata; Mammalia; Rodentia; Cricetidae
Source: the annotation of a RefSeq genome assembly